GAAGCCUGAGAAGCAGUGAGGGCUCUGAUGCCGGGACCCAUUCUCAGGAGUACAAGGACCUGGAAUAAAAAUGAACACCAAUUAGCCAGGAGAUGUCAAAGUAGCCCAUGGCAACAUGCCAGGAGAGACUUCAAUCAUUACCACCACGGACACCAGGACCUGGAAGCCACCUGUUGAAGAUGGCAGAGCCCCAAGACAGAAGGAGCACCCACCUGGGAGGAUCACUGCUGAACAUGCAAGCUGGAUGGCUGUGG
Piliocolobus tephrosceles (Ugandan red Colobus) is the source of this 254-nucleotide long non-coding RNA. RefSeq lists it as uncharacterized. The record is from RefSeq and is a predicted model, not a curated record. Lineage: Eukaryota; Metazoa; Chordata; Mammalia; Primates; Cercopithecidae. The transcript has 3 exons.